This 710-nucleotide long non-coding RNA is filed under the name Rhipicephalus microplus (southern cattle tick). RNAcentral's name for it is "uncharacterized LOC119168028". Lineage: Eukaryota; Metazoa; Arthropoda; Arachnida; Ixodida; Ixodidae. The record is from RNAcentral.
GGUAACUAUGCAGUCCUACGUUUUAUCAGUAGCCAUUUUAUUUUUAUUUCCAAUAUUAUCCGAAACUUCAAAAGGAUUUCGUCAAAAAUCGCGCAUUCCCAGAUAUCGAGACAUCAGAAAGUUUCUUAAUACAUCGGAGCCAAUAUGGACCUAUAAUUCAACGCUGGAAGAAACGCUGCGCUGUCAGGUGGACGUUAUGUCCAAAUGCAGCCUAUAUUCAAUUCAGUACAAAAGGUCGUACGAUAUUAACAAGCAGUACGAACAGAGCACCUAGAGGGAUGGUUCCUAAAGCACCGAAGAGAUGAGAUGUUUGUUGCCGUUCUAGGGAAUGUGCCAGUUAUUGCAGAAAAACUUGUCUACGCGAGUGUCGAUGCAAGUUGUGGUGUCUUCAAGGUGACGCUGCCAUUCCCUGGUGAAGAGCCUUGGCACGAUCUGAGAGUAAAAAAUUCUUCUAUUGUGACUGGACCAAGGCAGGAUUGUUCAAUGUAUUUCAAAGAUGCCCUAAAUAAAGGAACAAAGACUAAACCACUCAAAAAAGGCGGGAAUAUGAAGGCUACGGGAAACCCAAUUUAUGAUCCUCAGUGCCAACGUAUACUUCGGCCGAUUUUAGGCCUUCGGCCUCCCUCUGUGAAAGAUGAGCACUUGUGAUGAGAUGAGCAUUGUCUCUUUCGAAUACCUGCGAGAAACAUCAGCAAUAAAAUUGUUUAUUU